GCUCCAGUAGCGUAUAUUAAAGUUGUUGCAGUUAAAAAGCUCGUAGUUGGAUUUCUGGCUUGAGACGCUGGCCGCCAAGGUUUCUUGGUGAGUGCCGGUGUGUCUCUGCCAUCCUUCUGGAAAUCGAUCCUGCUCUUUACUGAGUUGGGAUCGCGAUCCAGAUCUUUUACUUUGAAGAAAAUUAAAGUGUUCAAAGCAGG
Molecule: ribosomal RNA, 200 nt
Filed under: uncultured eukaryote
Lineage: Eukaryota
Description: partial 18S ribosomal RNA
Rfam family: Eukaryotic small subunit ribosomal RNA
Source: RNAcentral